CCUUCGGGGCCACUGAGUGUCCGCUGCUGCGUGCGCUUAUUCAAAGGUCUGAGAUCGGUCGCUGACUAGAUUCCCACGCCAGGCUGCUGGCGGACGGGGCUGUUCCGGAACCUCCAGCUUGCGGAGCCCUGCCCAGCGAGGUGUCGCCCCGGGUGCCCCAGGCCAGGGGAGAUCCACCUCCUGGAGACUGCACCUACUCUGGGGCAAGUGCCCAGAAAAAGGACAUGACUAUUGAGCAAAGAGAAGCAAAGUCCCAGGCAAUAAUGAGCCAGCACAUUCAAAGCAGACAUCAGCCUUUUCUCAUCACAGUGAUGGCAAAAUAUUCAAACUGGUCUAGAAAAAAAAAGUUGUUUGUAGGAUCAGCAAAUAUUUGAGGGGAAAGAGAGAAGAAUGUAAACAGGAUGCAUUCAGAAAAUUUUCAUUGGAAUUCUCUCCUACAAAUUUCUCACAAUGUUAUUUUCCAAUGCAUUUGCCUGCUUCCUUCAAACUGAUGUUUAACAAUGGCACAGACCUUUCAAACUGAAACUGAAUCUGUCCAUGCUGGGAAGAGUUCUAUUUAAUGCAACUUCAAGCACAAAGUAGUGGUUUCUGCUUUUGAAUAGAUGAACUUAUGCAAGUAUGAGCUGUGAAAACACACAGAUUAUAUCAGCACUGGGAAGCUCUACUAAGCCAGCAUAUUCAAAGGGGGAUUCACCAUUCAACAUCACAUUGCAAGCACAUAACUUAAAUGGUGGUAGAAAAAAAAAAAAAAACUUUGGACAAGGUUCACUAAACUUUGUGGGGAAAAAUGGAAUGUUAAGAGAAUUCCUCUCCAAUGUUUUCUUGACAUUUGUUGGUCCACCUUUUUCACAAUACUCACUUAAUUGCAGCUUCCUGUUUCCUAUGAACUGAUGUUUAAUAAUGGCACAGAUGCUUCAAACUGAAACUGAAUUUGCAUGUGCAGGGAAGAAUUCUAUUGAAUGCCACCGUAAGCACAAACCAAGCAGAGGUUGUCCUUUAAAACACAGUGAGUUCUAGCAAGUUGAAGUUGAUAGCACAAACUGCUUCUGUUUUGUUCCUGCAAGCUCUACUGAGCCAGCACACUUAAAGCAGACAUCAGCUUUUUACCAUUAUAGGGAUGGCAGAAUAUUCCAAUUGGUCUACAAAUGAAAAGUUGUAUUAUAUAGGAUAACCAAACAUUGAGUGGAAGAGGAAAAAAAUGUAAACAGGGUUUAUUCAGUAAAGUUUCAAUGGAAUUCUCUCCUACAAUUUUCUCACAACAUUGUUUUCCAAUGCAUUUUUCUGUUUUCUUCAAACUGGUAUUUCACAAUGGCACAAAUGCUUGAAACUAAAUCUGAAUCUUUCCAUGCUGGAUAGAGUUCUGUUGGAUGCUACUUCAAGCACAAACAAAGGAGAGGUAUCUCCUUUAAAAACAAGUGAAUUUUUGUAAGUAGAAACUGUUAAAAUUCACAGAUUUCUUUUCUGAACUGGGAAGAUCUUCUAAACCAGCAUAUUCAAAGCAGAGUACAGCCCUUCAACAUCACAUUGAAGGCACAGAAUUUACAUGCUGGUAGCAAGAAAUACCUUGGAGAAGGCUCACUAAAACUUGAAGAAAAAACAAAAUUUUUAUGUGGAUUCAUUCACCAAAGAUUCCUAGAAUUUUGAUGGUUCACCUUUUUAACAAUACCCACUUCAAUUGCAUUUGCCCGCUUCCUACAAACUGAUGUUCAAGAAUGGCACAUUCACUUGAAACUGAAACUGAAUUUGCUGAUGCUGGGAAGAGUUCUGUUGAAUGUUACUUCAAGCACAAACAAAGCAGAGGGUUCUUCUUUAGAACAGAUGAACUCAUGCAAGUACAAACUGUUAAAACACAUGAAUUAUUUUCUGCACUGGGAAAAUCAUCUAAGGCAGCAUAUUCAAAGCAGGGUUCAGCCAUGCAAACUCACAUUGCAAGCACAUUAUUUAAAUGAUGGUAGCAAGAAAAAUCAUGGAACUAGGCUUACAAAACUCUGUGGGGAAAAGGGAAUGUUACGGGGAGUCCUUCAAAAUUUUCUUUAAAUUUGUUGGUUUACAUUUUUCACAAUACUCCAUCUAAUUGCAGUUUCUGGAUUCCUAUGAAUUGAUGUUUAACAAUGGUACAGAUGCUUGAAACAGAAACUAAAUCUGCCCAUGCAUGGAAGAAUUCUGUUGAAUUCUACUUCAAGCCCAAAUAAAGCAAAAGGUUCUUUUUUUAGAACAGAGUAAAUUACAGCAACUUGAAGCUGCAAGAACAAAGUUCUUCUAUUGUCUUCUUGCAAUCUCUUCUCAGCACAAUCAAAGCAGACUUCAACCUUUCUUCAUCACAAUGAUAGCAAAAUAUUCAAAUUGAUUUAGGAAGAAAAAGUUGUAUGUAGGAUCAUAAAACAUU
Urocitellus parryii (Arctic ground squirrel) is the source of this 2386-nucleotide long non-coding RNA. RefSeq lists it as uncharacterized. The record is from RefSeq and is a predicted model, not a curated record. NCBI's taxonomy places the organism in Eukaryota, Metazoa, Chordata, Mammalia, Rodentia, Sciuridae.